RNAcentral lists this ribosomal RNA (75 nucleotides) under uncultured bacterium. RNAcentral describes it as "partial 16S ribosomal RNA". The record is from RNAcentral.
UGGGGUUAAAACCCUGCCUCAAAGAGGGGAAUAGCCUCCCGAAAGGGAGAUUAAUACCGCAUAAUAUGUUACUAG